This 245-nucleotide long non-coding RNA is filed under the name Homo sapiens (human). RNAcentral's name for it is "HSALNT0176027". The record is from RNAcentral. Lineage: Eukaryota; Metazoa; Chordata; Mammalia; Primates; Hominidae.
GUAUGGAGAUCUUGGGAGCUUUGAUAUUUAUUUCAGGCAUCUUGAACUUGGGGCCCUUUAGUUUCGCAUCUGGACCUUCGAUAUUCACAUCAGGAACAUCAACGUCCACUUUGGGUCCUGAGACAUCAAUGUCAGCCUUGGGCAGGUUCACGUCCACAUCUGGACCUUCUCCUUUGAAGCCAGGCAUGCUGAUCUUGGGCAUUUUUAUCUUGGGCAUCUUUAGGUGCCAGUCUGGGCCAUGAACA